Molecule: ribosomal RNA, 257 nt
Filed under: uncultured bacterium
Lineage: Bacteria
Description: partial 16S ribosomal RNA
Rfam family: Bacterial small subunit ribosomal RNA
Source: RNAcentral
CACGCAGUAAACGAUGUUCACUAGGUGUGAGAGGUAUCGACCCCUUUCGUGCCGCAGUUAACGCAUUAAGUGAACCACCUGGGGAAUACGACCGCAAGGUUAAAACUCAAAGAAAUUGACGGGGGCCCGCACAAGCGGUGGAGUAUGUGGUUUAAUUCGAUGCAACCCGAAGAACCUUACCAGAACUUGACAUGUCGAUGCAAGGCUAUGGAAGCAUAGUCCCCUGUACAGCAAUGUAUAGCGUUGAGCACAGGUGG